GAGUUUGAUCUUGGCUCAGAACGAACGCUGGCGGUAUGCUUUACACAUGCAAGUCGAACGAGUAUGGACUCUAGCAAUAGAGGACCCAGCUAGUGGCAGACGGGUGAGUAACGCGUGGGAACCUACCUUGUAGUACGGAAUAGCCAUUGGAAACGAUGAUUAAUACCGUAUACGCUCUUCGGAGGAAAGAUUUAUUGCUAUAAGAUGGGCCCGCGUUAGAUUAGCUUGUUGGUGAGGUAAUGGCUCACCAAGGCGACGAUCUAUAACUGGUUUGAGAGAAUGAUCAGUCACACUGGAACUGAGACACGGUCCAGACUCCUACGGGAGGCAGCAGUGGGGAAUAUUGGACAAUGGGCGCAAGCCUGAUCCAGCAAUACCGCGUGAAUGAUGAAGGCCCUAGGGUUGUAAGUU
RNAcentral lists this ribosomal RNA (411 nucleotides) under uncultured Alphaproteobacteria bacterium. RNAcentral describes it as "bacterial SSU rRNA". It matches the Rfam family "Bacterial small subunit ribosomal RNA", at positions 9 to 431 of the family's 1533-position model. Lineage: Bacteria; Pseudomonadati; Pseudomonadota; Alphaproteobacteria. The record is from RNAcentral.